GAUGAAGAAGUAGCGAAAUGCGAUAAGUAGUGUGAAUUGCAGAAUUCAGUGAAUCAUCGAAUCUUUGAACGCACAUUGCGCCCCUUGGUAUCCCGAGGGGCAUGCCUGUUCGAGCGUCAUUUCACCACUCAAGCCUGGCUUGGUGUUGGGCGACGUCCUCUUUGGGGACGCGCCUCGAAACGCUCGGCGGCGUGGCACCGGCUUUAAGCGUAGCAGAAUCUUUCGCUUUGGAAGUCGGGGCCCCGUCUGCCGGAAGACCUGCUCGCAAGGUUGACCUCGGAUCAGGCAGGGAUACCCGCUGAACUUAAGCAUAUCAAUAAGCGGAGGA
RNAcentral lists this unclassified non-coding RNA (328 nucleotides) under soil metagenome. RNAcentral describes it as "partial contains 5.8S ribosomal RNA, internal transcribed spacer 2, and large subunit ribosomal RNA". The stretch from base 1 to 119 matches the Rfam family "5.8S ribosomal RNA", at positions 35 to 154 of the family's 154-position model. The record is from RNAcentral.